Molecule: non-coding RNA, 651 nt
Organism: Pelobates cultripes (western spadefoot toad)
Lineage: Eukaryota; Metazoa; Chordata; Amphibia; Anura; Pelobatidae
Source: the annotation of a GenBank genome assembly
AUGGUUUAAGAAAUAAUUUAAUGUGGAAAAUAAAAACAUUUAGAGCGUAUGUUUACGUAUAAUGUUUAUAAAAGCUAUAUUAUCAAGAACCAAUCCAUUUUCAUAAUUGUUUUUCAUCAGUCUCUGAAAAUUGUAAAUGUUGUACACUCUUUAUUAAACUAUGGUAGAUGAAGUUUUUAAUUCCUGCCCAAUGUGAUAUCACUUCCUUCACUUCAGAGAGCCAAUCAAAUGAGAGUCAAAGCAAUUACCUGUGGGAGAGCAAGUUUAACCUUAAGAACCCAGUUACCAAGGCCUUCCCUUUAGUCUAGACUCUAGACUCAUUUAGAAUCUCGCAGUUAUCCAAGACAGUUUUUAUACAUUUUAGUACACAACUGCAAAAUGCUAUCCUUUUUCAUAUUGUGUGUUUACUUCACAAUAUAUUUCUGUUAGUGGUACAAUUUACUGCGCGUCAAAGUCAUAGAAUAUGAAUAUUGGCAAUAUUUGCAAUAUAGAAAAUUAUUUUGUUUAAAGCUAAUUUGGCGUAUGGCUGAUAUAUCAUUAUCAAGCUCCAUACCUGGGAGAAUAUUUUUGCUGGUGUUAAAUUUUUCUAAAUUUGACUAUCCUAUAGACUGUAAUCUUGUUUGAGCAGGGUCCUCUUCAACCCAUCGUUCC